Drosophila mojavensis is the source of this 3781-nucleotide long non-coding RNA. RefSeq lists it as uncharacterized. The record is from RefSeq and is a predicted model, not a curated record. NCBI's taxonomy places the organism in Eukaryota, Metazoa, Arthropoda, Insecta, Diptera, Drosophilidae. The transcript is spliced from 3 exons.
GCUACACUGGCAGCUCUGCUUGUCAAAAUGUAUUAGAAAACAAUAAGAAUUUGUAAAUGGAAAUCGUUUACAAUCGCCAAUUAAGUACUUCGCGCCCCCUGAUCGAUCAGUGUAUUUAAGGAACUGCAAGUGAGUUGAUCAAACGAUGUGAGAUGUGUCACACCCACGAAUCAGAAAUGCAUCAAUCAAAAUUGCAUUUCAAUCAUCAGCGACGGUCAGCUAAUUUCACUGAACAGUGGCUGCCAAUCAAACAAUUAAUCACAAGGCCAUUCAGUCACUGCCAAAGCAAUUAAAAUUAAUCAACAAUCAAUCAAAAUGUCACCGAGCGCACGCAAAAGCCCCAACUGCAGCUAUUUAUAUACAUACAUAUAUACAUACACAUAUAGGUGUAUACAUAUAUGCACGUAUGUAUGUAUGUGCAAUCUUUGUCAGGCAAUCAAUUAGUUCCCGCUCAGGACCUGCUCCAAAUCAUCAGCAUCACCAGCAACAAUCGUGGAAUGUAUGUACAUAUGUAUGUAUGUAUGUAUGUAUAUUCAAUCAGCUGACCUCGAUGUCUGGGCUGCUCUUUGGCCAUGGCCAUUGCCAAUAUGUGCUCGUAUAAUCAAAAAACAAAAAUCAAACACGCACACACACACACGCACACACACACAUACGCACCCAAUCUACGCCAUUAGCCAUAUAACCUAUAAGCUCAUACAGCCCAUAACCCGUAACCCCAAAGCUGUAACCCAGUUUCAAUUGAACGCUUUUUCACAUGCCAAUGCACCAGCCGCCCGCCCACAUACCUCCGCCCCCUGCCCGCCUAGCCCACGCUCCACUGCUCAUCAGGAUCAUCAUCAAUUGGCAUGCAAUGUGUGACCGCGACCGAGACUAGGCAAAUGCUUGCCGAAUGCGAGGUUUUAUUUUCGGCCGGAUUUCCAGGGUAAUUGAAGCAGAGAGUGAGACGGAGAGGGAGAGGGAGACAGAGACCAAGCAAGGCAAUAGCACAACUAAAUUGAAAUCAAACCCAGACGCACCAGCACUCACACGCACACGGAUACCCGCACGCACGCACGUGCGUGUCACGAGUCGGGCGCUAGGCUAGGCUUUACGUGGCGACUUUAAUUGCUGAGGUCAGGAGCGGCAAUCAAAAGGCACUGCAAAGAGCACCAUCAAAUCGAGCUGAAAACGCGCGCAUCAAGCGUCGCUCGCCAAAAACGCCAUCAAUUCUGUCGCUGGGCGGGCGGGAUGGAGAUGGAUGGAGAUUAAGCUGAGUGUUAAGUGCGCCGCCAUUGCGUUAACAAAUCUUCACUACUCUCGCUUUAACUCUCCCCUCAUACGCUCUAUUCUCUUUGUGUGCGUGAGUGCGUGCUUGUGCUUGUGUAUGUGUGUGCUUAUGUGCUGCACUUUGUAAAAGUGUUUUGCCCAUUUACGAGCCAGCGAGCUCGUCGAGCGUCGGCGCUGAUUUUUAUGCCAUGUUUGGCGCUGACUGUCAAGCAAACGCCUGCCGCUAGCCGCCAGACGCCACCUAGUGGCAGAAGCAGUCCCUUCGCUGCCCCGCCAUCUGCUUUGCCUUUGUCAAUCAGUGAGCGGGAGCGUGAGUUAGUGUGCGUGUGUGUGUUCAUCUCUGUUUCUGUGUAUGAGUGCAUGUGUGUGUGUGUGUGUGUGUGUGUACAGUCAUUUUCAUAUGUGAGUGGGCGUGGCCAUGGCAUGAGCGCACUUGCUACAAGUCUUGUUUGCCGUUUGCCACUGCCACUGCCACUGCCGUUGCCUGCCGCAGCAACAGUGCUGCCAGAAAUGCACACGCAGCAGCAGCAGCAGCAGCAGGAGCCGCCGUCAACAGUGGCGCCACCUACACGGCCCCCACCCACAACAAGAUAUAUGUUGACAGCUUGUGAAAAUAUGAGCAACGUUUUGCUGCUACCAGCCAAAUGUGUUGAAAAAUUGAAAAAUAUUUCGCCAUCGAUGCACUAAAAUAUGGUCCAUGACGAGAGGAGGGAGGCAGGAGGCGGGAGCCGAGAGGCGAACGCCAAAUCGCAGGCGAGAAAUGCAAAGCAACAACAAAAAAGCCAAAGAAAACCCAACACAGCAAAGCGAAGAAGAAGAAGAAGAUGAAGCACAACGUGUUGGGUUUUGUGUGCCAAAAAAGCAACGGGAAAAAAUUGUAUUUGGCGGCGCGCCAGACUAUAACAAGAGAAAUAACAACAACAGUAACAACAACAACAACAACAUGAAGCAGAAACAACACCAGCCACGCCUAUAGCCAGCCAUAGUCCUGAUCGAGUCCUCUGAAAGUCUUCUGGCUGCGUUUACUCUUUUGUUAUUUAAAAGUUUUUUUUUCCUCCACUUUUUCGCUUUAUUUUCUCCAGCUCCAUCUUGGUCUUCUUCUUCUUAGCUCCUUUUUUUUUGGCUGGGGGCUUUUAUUUUGAUUAACUGACAAGCGGCUGGCAAUUGGCACAAUUGAAGGCAACUCCUUGGUCCUAAGUCCUUGUUGCAGGCAUUGUUGAUUUAGGAUAACGCCAGCCAGCUGCCAAAAGGUUAACGUUAACGAAUUUAUAUUAAGGCCACCAACAAAACGCCCGAAAUAAAAAGACAAAAUAUGCCAAAAAGCCGAGAAAGGCUAUUGUGCGGGGAUCCGGUGAGCCGACGGGCCGAGGAGUCGAGGAGUCCAGGAGUCCAGGAGUCGGGUAGUCGGGUAGUCGAGGGGCCGAAAGAUGAGAUGAGCUCAAAAAUUUGCUUGCUCGCCAUUUACCGGUCGCGGCAACAAAGAGAUAACAGAAAUCUGCACAUCGCCCCAUAACUCUAAAGCCACAUUGAAAUGUAUAUAUAGUAAGUACACACACCAGCACACUAACACACACACACACACACACAGACACAGACACACAUAAAUAUACAUACUUUAUGCGUAGCACAAAAGGCAACAACUUGUUAACUUUGCUUUUUAUUUUAGGGACACUCUAAGUUGGGGCAGCCUGGCCUGCGAAGUUCGGGUUUGGCUUUCAUUUGCUAUACGCUGUGCGUGAGGUUCAAAUGGGGCAUAUUGGUUGCCAGCCAGCUGCGUGCAUAUGACUGAUACUUGAUACUGAAGCCCAUGUCUGCGUGUAUGUGUGUGUGUGUGUGUGUGUGUGUGUGUGUGUGACAGCAACUCCUGCACCAACUUGAGACUGACUUCGCUGCCAAGUGCAACUCAGCUCGGCAUGUGACGGAUGAAGGUUUUUGUACUCGACUUGCCAACAUAUACGUCAUCAUCGCACGCCCUGGCUCUAGCUCUGGCUGAGGCACUGUGCCCUUCACUCGGGACUGGGUGUUCUACAGUCGCUGCGACUCUUUGGCUGCCCGUCGGUAGCAGCUGCUUCGCCGCACAGACAAAUAUGAGGGCUUUGACUUGGCUGGGGAGAAUGCUGCUCCCGCUGCGCCCGUUGCCUCCCCCCUUCCCCUCUGCUGCUGCUGCUGCUGUUGCUUGGCGCCUACUGUGCCGGGGGGCCAUAAAAUUGGCGUCGCCACCGCGUGAUUAGGAGCCGCGACGCGUUUCAUUUAGCUUGUCCUCAAGGCUCCCGCAAACAUUCAAAUACACACACACACACACACACACACACGCAUAAACACUGAGUACUUACAUCUUGUAUAAGUAACGUAAAUUGCUGAGGCUCUGCGCCAAAUUGAGAGGCAUUCUUAAAGGCCAAUCUCAGGAGAUGGCCAUUUCUGUAUGUGAAACGAUACCCACCGGAGUUGCUCAUUGAAAGCCUUUGCCCCCACAACGGCCCCACCACUACGUCAUUUAUUAAAAAAAAAAAAAAAA